UCUUUUAACAAAAAAAAUAUUAAGAGUCGAAAAAAGAACCUUCAAACCUAAUAAUCCCCUAAACCCAGGUCUUCCUCUUGUCUUCGCCGAUGCCGAUGGCCAGCCCAAACUGUGAAGCUCCUCUUCUACAGUUCUCCUCAUCGUCUUGUCCAAGCUAAUCUUUCUCAAGUUUUGUUCUGUUUUCUACACUCUUCAUGACCAUGGAAAUUUGCAAAACCAAAUCGAGACCUCUACGGCGAUACCGUCUUUCAACAUGUCGAUAUGGCUUCUUUAGAUAAUCUAAACAGUCAGGAGAUCAAUGAAGAUCUGCACAAUCAGCAACUCGCCGCCGGUUAUGCAACUCCUGAAAACCCUAGAUCUACACAUAUCUUCUUGUCUUCGUUUCCAAAUCCUUCUUCUCCGUCAUCUCCAUAUUAGUUAGGGUUUGUGUUGACCGGAUAUCUCUCUUAUUUUGCAUCGUGAUUGCACUUGAGAUUCGUAAUUGGUUUUUGGUUAAUUUUCCUCUUUGAUUGCGAGUUUUGGAUUUUGAAGGCCUGUGUAAGUUAUUCAACAUUUUGCCAUUCUCUAGCUUACCAAAAGAUGUAUCUUUUGACUUUGAAGUAAAAUGGAUAGAUACAAGAGAGUCAAUAAACCGAAGCUUGAGUCUCCGAUUAACGAGAAUGAGAUCCGUAUCACCAGUCAAGGCCUUAUCCUAAUUUGUGUUGUGUAGUUGCAGGUUGAAGCUGAUUACGUGAUGAGCUUUAGGACAUGCUCAGUUUAUGUAUCUUCUAAUCUUUGACUUGUUAAGUCUCUUUGUUGGGAACAUGUAGGAGUGAGGACCAUAAGAAGACAGGUCUUGAGUAAGAAUGGGUCUACUAAAACUGGAGGACUUCAAGACUUUGCUACAACUGUUUGCGUUAAACUAGCUUGCUACCUAAAGAAGCAGCAAGUAUGCUUUUUCAAAAAUACAGGUGAGAUUUCUGAUGGGAUAUAUUAUUUGUUACUCUCUUUCAAAUUACAACUGACGUAUACGUACUACCAUCAAACUCAAACCUUGCUGGGAGAAGGUAAAAUCUUAACAUGAGAAUGCUUGUUUGAGAUGGAAUCUUGAAAUUUUUAAAUCUGAAAUGGUUGUUAGUCUUGUUUCUUUCUCCAUGUGAAAUUCCAUACGAAUGAACACUUGCAGGACAUGCUCGGAAAUGAGUUUUAUGCUGGUGCUUACAAGUUAAGGACGAUUCAACAUGAAUUUAGCUAUUUGAUCACUAGAGUUCGAUAAGUGAGUAGAGCAAGGAAUAGCACCAAGCUUGAGUCUUUACCAAAGACUUCUAGAUUUGCCAACAAAGUUAGCUCUUCGGUUUGAGAACUUAUCUGCAGUUUUUGGUUUUCGUUCUCUUUUUGAUUCCUAUCAACUGAGUUGGUGUAAAUUUGCAGCUUGAUCUAGUAGAUAUCUCCCCAAAUUUCGGGUCAUACUUUCUUAAUUUGCAGCAAGAAAAAGUCUUCAGCAGUGAAACACCAUGUGGAGUUUCACAGGGAGAAAGAACCAGAAUGGUUGUGUACUGUUGGAAAGCAAAGUGGUUGUGGGAUUGUGCGGGAAGAAGAAGUAGAGAUCAGCUGGUGACCUAUUAAGCAAGAAGAGGAGCAUUUAGAUAUAGAUUAGAGUAGAGUAGCGUAGUUGAUGUCUUUGUAUAAGAUUUGGUUUGGAUUAAUAUUUGUAAGACUUGAUAUGUUUUUAUGGACUUUCUAUUUAUAUUUAAA
Molecule: non-coding RNA, 1734 nt
Organism: Camelina sativa (false flax)
Lineage: Eukaryota; Viridiplantae; Streptophyta; Magnoliopsida; Brassicales; Brassicaceae
Source: RefSeq, a predicted model, not a curated record